This 250-nucleotide ribosomal RNA is filed under the name uncultured bacterium. RNAcentral describes it as "partial 16S ribosomal RNA". It matches the Rfam family "Bacterial small subunit ribosomal RNA", at positions 524 to 774 of the family's 1533-position model. The record is from RNAcentral.
UACGUAGGGGGCUAGCGUUAUCCGGAGUUACUGGGCGUAAAGGGUGCGUAGGUGGCUUCUUAAGUCAGAGGUGAAAGGCUACGGCUCAACCGUAGUAAGCCUUUGAAACUGAGAAACUUGAGUGCAGGAGAGGAGAGUAGAAUUCCUAGUGUAGCGGUGAAAUGCGUAGAUAUUAGGAGGAACACCAGUGGCGAAGGCGGCUUUCUGGACUGUAACUGACACUGAGGCACGAAAGCGUGGGGAGCAAACA